RNAcentral lists this ribosomal RNA (277 nucleotides) under uncultured bacterium. Its description in RNAcentral is "partial 16S ribosomal RNA". It matches the Rfam family "Bacterial small subunit ribosomal RNA", at positions 511 to 788 of the family's 1533-position model. The record is from RNAcentral.
GCAGCCGCGGUAAUACGUAGGUGGCAAGCGUUGUCCGGAAUUACUGGGUGUAAAGGGAGCGUAGGCGGCUAUGCAAGUUGAAUGUUAAAGUUCGGGGCUCAACCCCGUGAUGCGUUCAAAACUGUAUAGCUUGAGUGAAGUAGAGGCAAUCGGAAUUCCUAGUGUAGCGGUGAAAUGCGUAAAUAUUAGGAGGAACACCAGUGGCGAAGGCGGAUUGCUGGGCUUUAACUGACGCUGAGGCUCGAAAGCGUGGGUAGCAAACAGGAUUAGAUACCCC